UACUCUGUGUGGUGGGUUUAUUUGCU
Molecule: small RNA, 26 nt
Filed under: Bombyx mori (domestic silkworm)
Lineage: Eukaryota; Metazoa; Arthropoda; Insecta; Lepidoptera; Bombycidae
Description: ovarian small RNA-6184
Source: RNAcentral